UAGCAUAUCAAUAAGCGGAGGAAAAGAAACCAACAGGGAUUGCCCUAGUAACGGCGAGUGAAGCGGCAACAGCUCAAAUUUGAAAUCUGGCGCAAGCCCGAGUUGUAAUUUGUAGAGGAUGCUUCUGGCCAGCGGCCGUUCUAAGUUCCUUGGAACAGGACGUCAUAGAGGGUGAGAAUCCCGUAUGUGACCGGCGCGCAGCCUUUACGUAGCUCCUUCGACGAGUCGAGUUGUUUGGGAAUGCAGCUCUAAAUGGGAGGUAAAUUUCUUCUAAAGCUAAAUACCGGCCAGAGACCGAUAGCGCACAAGUAGAGUGAUCGAAAGAUGAAAAGCACUUUGGAAAGAGAGUUAAAAAGCACGUGAAAUUGUUGAAAGGGAAGCGCUUGCAACCAGACUUCGUAGCGAUGUUCCGCCGGUCUUCUGACCGGUCUACUCAUCGUCGCGAGGCCAACAUCGUCUGGGGCCGCUGGAUAAGACCUAAGGAAUGUAGCUUCCCUCGGGAAGUGUUAUAGCCUGUGGUGAUGCAGCGUGUCUCGGGCGAGGUCCGCGCUUCGGCAAGGAUGUUGGCGUAAUGGUUGUCAGCGGCCCGUCUUGAAACACGGACCAAGGAGUCUAACAUCUAUGCGAGUGUUCGGGUGUCAAACCCCUACGCGUAAUGAAAGUGAACGGAGGUGGGAAGCGCAAGCUGCACCAUCGACCGAUCCUGAUGUCCUCGGAUGGAUUUGAGUAAGAGCAUAGCUGUUGGGACCCGAAAGAUGGUGAACUAUGCCUGAAUAGGGUGAAGCCAGAGGAAACUCUGGUGGAGGCUCGCAGCGGUUCUGACGUGCAAAUCGAUCGUCAAAUUUGGGUAUAGGGGCGAAAGACUAAUCGAACCAUCUAGUAGCUGGUUCCUGCCG
This 896-nucleotide ribosomal RNA is filed under the name Dothistroma septosporum. RNAcentral describes it as "LSU rRNA". It matches the Rfam family "Eukaryotic large subunit ribosomal RNA", at positions 36 to 963 of the family's 3401-position model. The record is from RNAcentral. Lineage: Eukaryota; Fungi; Ascomycota; Dothideomycetes; Mycosphaerellales; Mycosphaerellaceae.